This 2260-nucleotide ribosomal RNA is filed under the name Mycoplasmopsis gallopavonis. Its description in RNAcentral is "bacterial LSU rRNA". The stretch from base 1 to 1477 matches the Rfam family "Bacterial small subunit ribosomal RNA". Lineage: Bacteria; Bacillati; Mycoplasmatota; Mycoplasmoidales; Metamycoplasmataceae. The record is from RNAcentral.
UUAACGCUGGCUGUGUGCCUAAUACAUGCAUGUCGAGCGGAGUUCUUCGGAACUUAGCGGCGAAUGGGUGAGUAACACGUACUUAACGUGCCCACUAGAUUGGAAUAACGCUGAGAAAUUAGCGCUAAUGCCGGAUACUUAUUAAUUUCGCAUGAAGUUAAUAUAAAAGGAGCAAUUGCUUCACUAGUGGAUCGGGGUGCGUAACAUUAGCUAGUUGGUAAGGUAAUGGCUUACCAAGGCGAUGAUGUUUAGCGGGGUUGAGAGACUGAUCCGCCACACUGGGACUGAGAUACGGCCCAGACUCCUACGGGAGGCAGCAGUAGGGAAUUUUCCACAAUGGACGAAAGUCUGAUGGAGCGACACAGCGUGCAGGAUGAAGGCCUUCGGGUUGUAAACUGCUGUUAUAAGGGAAGAAAAAACAAAGGAGUGGAAAGCCUUUGUCUUGACGGUACCUUGUCAGAAAGCAACGGCUAACUAUGUGCCAGCAGCCGCGGUAAUACAUAGGUUGCAAGCGUUAUCCGGAAUUAUUGGGCGUAAAGCGUCUGUAGGUUGUGUGUUAAGUCUGACGUCAAAACUUGGGGCUCAACCCCAAAUCGCGUUGGAUACUGGCACGCUAGAAUUGUGUAGAGGUUAGCGGAAUUCCUAGUGAAGCGGUGAAAUGCGUAGAUAUUAGGAAGAACAUCAACAUGGCGAAGGCAGCUAACUGGGCACAUAUUGACACUGAGAGACGAAAGCGUGGGGAGCAAACAGGAUUAGAUACCCUGGUAGUCCACGCCGUAAACGAUGAUGAUUAGCUGAUGGRGACCAUCGGCGCAGCUAACGCAUUAAAUCAUCCGCCUGAGUAGUAUGCACGCAAGUGUGAAACUUAAAGGAAUUGACGGGGAUCCGCACAAGCGGUGGAGCAUGUGGUUUAAUUUGAAGAUACGCGUAGAACCUUACCCACUCUUGACAUCUUCCGCAAAGCUAUAGAGAUAUAGUCGAGGUUAACGGAAUGACAGAUGGUGCAUGGUUGUCGUCAGCUCGUGUCGUGAGAUGUUCGGUUAAGUCCUGCAACGAGCGCAACCCUUGUCCUUAGUUAGAUGAUCUAAGGAGACUGCCCGAGUAAUUGGGAGGAAGGUGGGGACGACGUCAAAUCAUCAUGCCUCUUACGAGUGGGGCCACACACGUGCUACAAUGGACGGUACAAAGAGAAGCAAAACGGCGACGUCAAGCAAAUCUCAAAAAACCGUUCUCAGUUCGGAUUGUAGUCUGCAACUCGACUACAUGAAGUCGGAAUCGCUAGUAAUCGUAGAUCAGCUACGCUACGGUGAAUACGUUCUCGGGUCUUGUACACACCGCCCGUCACACCAUGGGAGCUGGUAAUGCCCGAAGUCGGUUUUGUUAACUACGGAAACAACCGCCUAAGGCAGGACUGGUGACUGGGGUGAAGUCGUAACAAGGUAUCCCUACGAGAACGUGGGGAUGGAUUACCUCCUUUCUACGGAGUACAUUACCUAUCUAAUAGGAUACUUAAAGACUAUUUUUAUUAAAAUAAUUAAUAAUUGUUACAAUGACACAUGUACUAUGUUAAUAGUCCAUAGAUAUAUCUAGUUUUGAGAGAACUUUCUCUCUUGUUCUUUGAAAACUGAAUAGUAAAGAUAUUACAACGACAUCAAAUAAAUAAAUUAAAUUGGUUAAUUUGUUUUGAUUGAUACCGAGUAAUUAUUACAAUGUAAUAAUUUAUUGAAAUGUCUUUGAAUAUACAUCAACAAUAGGUCGAAUAUUGUCAACUUUUAAAUAAGUAAGAGUUUGUGGUGGAUGCCUUGGGUCUGGAAGUCGAUGAAGGACGUGAUUACCUGCGAUAAGCCUCGUGGAGCUGGAUAUAAGCUACGAAGCGGGGAUUUCCGAAUGGGGAAACCUAACUAGAGUAAUUUCUAGUUGCUAUACGAUGAAUAAAAUAGUCGUAUUUGCGAGACACGUUGUGAACUGAAACAUCUUAGUAGCAACAGGAAGAGAAAAUAAAAAAUGAUUCCAUUAGUAGCGGCGAGCGAAAGUGGAAGAGCCCAAACCAACAUUAGUUGGGGUUGUAGGACUAUCUACAUGAAGUUACAAAUCUUUGUUAUAGCAGAAUUAGUUGGGAAACUAAAGCAUAGAGGGUGAUACUCCCGUAUGCGAAAUGGCAAGGACUUCUGAUAGUAUCCUGAGUAGGGCGGGGCACGUGAAACCCUGUCUGAAUCUGCCGGGACCAUCCGGUAAGGCUAAAUACUAACCAGACACCGAU